UGNGGUAUUUUNACCGUGCAAAGGUAGCAUAAUCAGUUGUCUUUUAAUUGAAGGCUGGAAUGAACGGCUGGAUGAGGGAAAGACUGUCUCUUUUGUAAUUCUAUAAUUUGACCUUUAAGUGAAAAGGCUUAAAUUUUCUAGGGGGACGAUAAGACCCUAUAAAACUUUAUAUUUUAAUUUUUUGCUUUAGAUUAUAGAUUAAAAUUGCAAAGUUAUUUAAAUAUUUCGUUGGGGCGACGUUGAUAAAAUCUUAACUGUCUGUGUAAAAGUUAUAGUAAUUACUAGAAUAUGAUCCUUCUUUUGAGGAUAACAAGAAUAAGUUACUUUAGGGAUAACAGCGUAAUUUUCCUCGAGAGUUCUUAUCGAAAGGAAUAGUUGCGACCUCGAUGUUGAAUUAA
RNAcentral lists this ribosomal RNA (398 nucleotides) under Palaemon semmelinkii. RNAcentral's name for it is "partial 16S ribosomal RNA". It matches the Rfam family "Archaeal large subunit ribosomal RNA", at positions 2009 to 2609 of the family's 2987-position model. Lineage: Eukaryota; Metazoa; Arthropoda; Malacostraca; Decapoda; Palaemonidae. The record is from RNAcentral.